RNAcentral lists this ribosomal RNA (430 nucleotides) under uncultured bacterium. Its description in RNAcentral is "bacterial SSU rRNA". It matches the Rfam family "Bacterial small subunit ribosomal RNA", at positions 354 to 796 of the family's 1533-position model. The record is from RNAcentral.
GUGGGGAAUCUUGCGCAAUGGGCGAAAGCCUGACGCAGCGACGCCGCGUGUGGGAAGAAGGCCUUCGGGUUGUAAACCACUUUCAGGAGGGAAGAAGCGAGAGUGACGGUACCUCCAGAAGAAGCCCCGGCCAACUACGUGCCAGCAGCCGCGGUAAUACGUAGGGGGCAAGCGUUGUCCGGAAUUAUUGGGCGUAAAGAGCUCGUAGGCGGUCUUUUAAGUCGGGUGUGAAAUCUCAGGGCUCAACUCUGAAACUGCACCCGAUACUGGAUGACUUGAGGCAGGUAGGGGAGAUCGGAAUUCCUGGUGUAGCGGUGAAAUGCGCAGAUAUCAGGAGGAACACCGGUGGCGAAGGCGGAUCUCUGGGCCUGUUCUGACGCUGAGGAGCGAAAGCGUGGGGAGCAAACAGGAUUAGAAACCCCUGUAGUCC